AAAAGAAGAAGAAGAAGAAGAAGCACAACAACAGGACACAGAGACACUGAGGAGCCAGGAGACCAGAUCCUAAAUCCAGGACAGAGAGUCUGAGUGAAUGAGGUGUUGAAGGUGUGGAGGUGGAUCAGUGAGUCAGAGGAGACUGUGUAGAAGGACAGAGAG
Molecule: long non-coding RNA, 162 nt
Organism: Etheostoma spectabile (orangethroat darter)
Lineage: Eukaryota; Metazoa; Chordata; Actinopteri; Perciformes; Percidae
Exons: 2
Source: RefSeq, a predicted model, not a curated record